Molecule: non-coding RNA, 46 nt
Organism: Fistulifera solaris
Lineage: Eukaryota; Bacillariophyta; Bacillariophyceae; Naviculales; Stauroneidaceae
Source: Rfam
CAACCGGAGGUUCUUACCUCCACCCAUUCAUCGCAAAGUGAAUUGU